GUGCUCACUGUGGUAGCACAUAUAUUAAAACUGGAAUGAUACAUAAAAUAUUAGCAUGGCCCCUACACAAGAACAACAUGCAUGUUCAUUAAGAGUUCUGUAGUUUU
This is a small nuclear RNA of Acomys russatus (golden spiny mouse), 107 nucleotides long. The record is from RefSeq and is a predicted model, not a curated record. Lineage: Eukaryota; Metazoa; Chordata; Mammalia; Rodentia; Muridae.